This 301-nucleotide ribosomal RNA is filed under the name uncultured bacterium. Its description in RNAcentral is "partial 16S ribosomal RNA". It matches the Rfam family "Bacterial small subunit ribosomal RNA", at positions 509 to 807 of the family's 1533-position model. The record is from RNAcentral.
CAGUAGCCGCGGUAAUACGAAGGGGGCUAGCGUUGUUCGGAUUUACUGGGCGUAUAGCGCACGUAGGCGGACUUUUAAGUCAGGGGUGAAAUCCCGGGGCUCAACCCCGGAACUGCCUUUGAUACUGGGAGUCUUGAGUUCGAGAGAGGUGAGUGGAAUUGCGAGUGUAGAGGUGAAAUUCGUAGAUAUUCGCAGGAACACCAGUGGCGAAGGCGGCUCACUGGCUCGAUACUGACGCUGAGGUGCGAAAGCGUGGGGAGCAAACAGGAUUAGAUACCCGCGUAGUCCCUGUCUCUUAUAC